This 278-nucleotide ribosomal RNA is filed under the name uncultured bacterium. RNAcentral describes it as "partial 16S ribosomal RNA". It matches the Rfam family "Bacterial small subunit ribosomal RNA", at positions 80 to 354 of the family's 1533-position model. The record is from RNAcentral.
UACUCCCGCCGGCGACCGGCGCACGGGUGAGUAACACGUAUGAAACCUGCCCGUAGCAGGGGGAUAAGCGGAAGAAAUUCCGUCUAAUACCGCGUAACAACCCGAGGAAGCAUCUCCUCGGGUUUAAAGGAAGCGAUUCCGGCUACGGAUGGUCAUGCGUCGCAUUAGCUAGUUGGCGGGGUAACGGCCCACCAAGGCGACGAUGCGUAGGGGUUCUGAGAGGAAGGCCCCCCACACUGGUACUGAGACACGGACCAGACUCCUACGGAAGGCAGCAG